AUUCAGUGGAAUGAAAUUCAAUGGAAAUCUAGAGAGAGAAACUGGAGAGAGAGAGAGAGAGGGAUAAGGGUUGGUUCCGUUGCUACCACAGCCUCUGCUGCUUUGACUGGCUAGAGGAACCUUGGUUCCCCACAGAUGUGCCCAAAGCAAGAUUGUUGUACCUAUUGUAAGAACAAAUCAAAUGCCAUCCCUAAAAAUGAAGAGCAAAGUAAACGGGAGCUGUUUAACAGAAAGAACGGAUCUUCAUGUAUGUCAGAAAUCAAAAUUAAUUUGCAAAAACACAUGCUCUAAAACCAUGAUUUCUUCUCAAAAGGCAGAAAUAGACACUACUAUUCGAAAUUGCCUAGAUGUUUCCUCAAGGACGAUGCCCAAAGACAUUGCAAGUGAUCAAUCCAUUAACAACAAAGAAUUUCUGGAUAAUGAAAACUCUGAAUCGCAGCACCAAUUUUCUGUUUAUUCCUCUGCUAUGGGAAAAAUGGAACUAACCAACCCCUGUACAGCAAACUUAGAAACAAUUUUUUCUCCUGCUUUUGAGCCCAUUGAAGUCCAUUCACAACGUUAUACUGAUAAAGAUGCAGGACGAAUUGAGGAUACUAAUAUGCCAGGAGUGGGAGCUGAUGAAGGAAGAAGCAUAUGUGGCUAUGAAACAUGUGAUGUAUCAGACUUCUACAUUUCUGACAUGAUCAUUACAAGCUUACCCUUUGGUGGAAAUGCCUUUGACGAUGGCAUCAGUGAAACCAACUGCCUAUCUGAUUAUGGAUCUGCUGAGCCAUCAAUGUUUACUGCAUCUGAACAGUACAUGAUCCUGCCUGCUCUUGAAGAUGAUUUUAAAGUUGACAGUACUUCUGAUAUCAUAACAUAUGAGGAAGCCAUGAUGGUUCGAGAAAGUGCUAGCUUAUAUUCAGCUAUGGCUCAGAUAAAAUCCUGCAACCAGGUGUCUGAUGUUAAAAAUGACUCAGAUAAGACAGAGUGCUUUGAUCCACAGUCAUUUAUCAAGAAUUUACCAGAACUAUCUGAAGUAGAAUUAAAUGGACAGCCCACCCUAACUCCUAAGCAAUCUCCAAGAAGAAAGUCAGUAACCCUGGUGCUUGACUUAGAUGAGACACUUGUUCAUUCUACACUGGAACAUUGUGAUGAUGCGGAUUUCACUUUUACUGUUUUCUUCAGUAUGAAAGAGUACACAGUAUAUGUAAAACAGAGGCCUUACCUUCACACAUUCUUGGAGAGAGUAUCAGAGAUGUUUGAAGUUAUUAUUUUCACUGCCAGCCAAAGUAUAUAUGCAAAACAACUACUGGAUAUAUUGGAUCCUGAUGGAAGAUUUAUUUCUCGCCGUGUAUAUCGAGAAUCAUGCCUUUUUUCAGAUGGAAAUUACACAAAAGAUCUUACUAUAUUAGGUGUUGAUCUCGCAAAAGUUGUCAUAAUUGAUAAUUCACCUCAGGUUUUCCGGUUGCAAGUGAAUAAUGGUAUUCCUAUAAAGAGUUGGUUUGAUGAUCCAUUAGACUCUGCACUGAUGUCAUUACUUCCCUUUCUAGAGAGCUUGGCUGAUGCUGAUGAUGUCCGUCCUAUCAUUGCAAAGAGAUAUGGGCCAUAGUUCAUAUCCUGAUUUUUAAAACUGUCAGAAAAGUAAGAGAACAGAAGUAUCGUAUUACGUAUACAUGCUAGAGGAGCCAAGGUCAACAUUCAUAAGAAACUAAUUAUCAUUUUCUCAUGUAUGUGUUACAUUUUCUGCCUUCCACUUCAUCUUCGGACAUUUCUGGAUGAUAUUUUUUGGAAAUGGAUGACUUGUACUUUGGUGAUUAGGUUUUGUUUGUAUAUUUAUACAAUGGAAGUGCAACGUGACACUGUUUCUGACAUGAAAACCAUGCUGCAACUGAAAAAUACGAAUGUUUGAGCCUAUGAACAUGGGAUUUACAGUGGUAAAGCUUAAACAUAUUUCCAUCGUUUGUGGAAUAGAUCCACAUGCCCGUUUUCAUCACCCUUGUAAUCAUAAAAUAUUUUGGCCAUCUAUCAGGUCUGUGUUGGAAGUCUUCAUCCCUAAUAAUUUCAAUUGAGUGGUCAAGAUCUAAGAGGUUUGUGAAGAAAAUUUUAUUAGAUUAUCCCUCUAAUGGCUGUUUGAUAGGUAUGUAAAUUUUGAUUACAUAGUCUAGGAUUUUUGCAGGUAUUUGUUAGUUACCUUGCAAUCAUAUUUUGCGUAUGUUUCAUCAUCAUUACCUGAAGCAAGAUGGUGCAAAAGUUGUAAAAUCCCACGUGAAAUGUUAAUUCAUUGUUGGUUCAUUUUUUCUUUUCCUGUUCUUCAUUUCGUGGCCAUUUGUUAUUUUGUCUUUUACAAUUGGCUACGAUUAUGUUGAGAAAUAGAAAUCGUUCAC
Gastrolobium bilobum is the source of this 2366-nucleotide RNA transcript. RefSeq lists it as uncharacterized. The record is from RefSeq and is a predicted model, not a curated record. The transcript has 9 exons. Lineage: Eukaryota; Viridiplantae; Streptophyta; Magnoliopsida; Fabales; Fabaceae.